This 73-nucleotide transfer RNA is filed under the name Candidatus Daviesbacteria bacterium RIFCSPHIGHO2_01_FULL_38_8. RNAcentral describes it as "tRNA-Tyr". It matches the Rfam family "tRNA". Rfam says of the family: Transfer RNA (tRNA) molecules are approximately 80 nucleotides in length. The record is from RNAcentral. Lineage: Bacteria; Candidatus Daviesiibacteriota.
CCACGGGUGGCCGAACGGUUGAGGCAACAGUCUGUAAAACUGUGAUAAGUAGGUCCGAUUCCUACCCCGUGGA